GAUGAACGCUGGCGGCGUGCCUAAUACAUGCAAGUCGAGCGAACGGACGAGAAGCUUGCUUCUCUGAUGUUAGCGGCGGACGGGUGAGUAACACGUGGAUAACCUACCUAUAAGACUGGGAUAACUUCGGGAAACCGUAGCUAAUACCGGAUAAUAUUUUGAACCGCAUGGUUCAAAAGUGAAAGACGGUCUUGCUGUCACUUAUAGAUGGAUCCGCGCUGCAUUAGCUAGUUGGUAAGGUAACGGCUUUCCAAGGCAACGAUGCAUAGCCGACCUGAGAGGGUGAUCGGCCACACUGGAACUGAGACACGGUCCAGACUCCUACGGGAGGCAGCAGUAGGGAAUCUUCCGCAAUGGGCGAAAGCCUGACGGAGCAACGCCGCGUGAGUGAUGAAGGUCUUCGGAUCGUAAAACUCUGUUAUUAGGGAAGAACAUAUGUGUAAGUAACUGUGCACAUCUUGACGGUACCUAAUCAGAAAGCCACGGCUAACUACGU
Molecule: ribosomal RNA, 496 nt
Filed under: uncultured bacterium
Lineage: Bacteria
Description: partial 16S ribosomal RNA
Rfam family: Bacterial small subunit ribosomal RNA
Source: RNAcentral